RNAcentral lists this ribosomal RNA (328 nucleotides) under Erwinia sp. Its description in RNAcentral is "bacterial SSU rRNA". It matches the Rfam family "Bacterial small subunit ribosomal RNA", at positions 513 to 840 of the family's 1533-position model. Lineage: Bacteria; Pseudomonadati; Pseudomonadota; Gammaproteobacteria; Enterobacterales; Erwiniaceae. The record is from RNAcentral.
CGCCGCGGUAAUACGGAGGGUGCAAGCGUUAAUCGGAAUUACUGGGCGUAAAGCGCACGCAGGCGGUCUGUCAAGUCAGAUGUGAAAUCCCCGGGCUUAACCUGGGAACUGCAUUUGAAACUGGCAGGCUAGAGUCUUGUAGAGGGGGGUAGAAUUCCAGGUGUAGCGGUGAAAUGCGUAGAGAUCUGGAGGAAUACCGGUGGCGAAGGCGGCCCCCUGGACAAAGACUGACGCUCAGGUGCGAAAGCGUGGGGAGCAAACAGGAUUAGAUACCCUGGUAGUCCACGCCGUAAACGAUGUCGACUUGGAGGUUGUGCCCUUGAGGUGU